AGCAGCUGAAUGAGGAGCUUGAGUCGGUGCGAGCUGAGAGCGAGCGUCUCCUGUCUGAGAAGACAGACAGCCCUCAGAAUCAUGCAGAGGAGUUGGAGAAGCUGCUCUCCACUGUAACAUCACUGACUGAAGAGAGUGACCAGCUCCAGGAGAUUCUGGGUGGAGUCAAGAGAGGAGAGGAACCAGCUCAAGCGAGAACUGGAGGAGAAUGUGGAGAUGUCUUUGAACCAGUCCAUCAAAUAAAGUCCAGGAGGAGCUGAAACAGCAGCAACAUCUCAACUCUGAGCAGCAGGCUGAGACAGAACAACAAACAACUCAACUUCAGCAACAACUCAUACAGGUCCAGAGGACAUUAGAACAGCAGCAACAUCUGAACACAGAACAGCAGGCUGAGAGAGAACAAGAGGCCCUACUUGAACAACAAGUCCAGCUUCUUGAAGAGCAGUUGAAGAUGAUGGGAGCCAGGUGAAGAGCAACCUUCAUGACAGUAUGGACAUGUGAUGCAAAUGCCACCAUCUCCAUAUUGACAGAGCAGUUCAAUAACAUGGAGCGCGAAGUGUUUUACCACUAGCGAAGCAGAGGGAAUUUGCUCCAGACUGGAGGCUUCCACUCAGCAGCUCCAGGCGUCCUUCGUGAGUCUCCAGCUUGUUAUCAAUGGUGCUUCAAAGCCUGGACAUGGGCCCCUGGUCGAUGUCACACAAAUUGACGAAGUCAUGAUACUGAAACUGUUGUUCCUUCUUCUGAAGUCCACCAAAAACCUCUGUAACAAUGUCAAUAGAGCUACAGUCCAGAUAACUAAUGCGGCUUGGGAUACGAAGGUGCUGCUGUAUGCCAAGGAUUACAAAACACACUUUGAAGCCCUGGUCCUGAAUGACUUGGCUGUAUUUGAGGAGAAGAGACUGCAGCACCUGCUCAUCUGUAGAACCCAGGCACCCAGUCACUCAGUCAAGGUGGCUGAGAACGAAUUCCUUGGAGUCUGAGACCAGAGACUGUCAGAGCUGCUGGACAAGAGUGGCGAUUACCUCCAGAAUAAUAAUAUUUUGGAUAAGCUUAAGGAGUGCCUGUCCACUCACCCAGCAGUGGUGUCAGAGGGCGUGAGAGAGGAGCAAUGAGGAGGCUGAGUGCUCUAUGCAUGGUCCACUCACCUGGCUCGUCAGCUGUGGAGAGCUUCCUGGCUCGUCAGCUGUGGAGAGCUUCCCGCGGCAGAGCUGGCCCAGCGCUCUGCCAUGGCACAGGCCAACACAUGGGCUCUCCAGGGAUUGUGAGAUGAGCACUGUGGUCUGCUGAAAGAGCUAGGUGUGGUCCGAGCACAGGCUGACAGUCAGCUGAAAGAAGAGCGGAGUAAGACCUUUACUCUACUGCAGAUACUGGAGAAUGUCCCAGUCAAGACUGAAGCUGACCAGCUGAGGUACAACCAGCAUCUUGCCAUUCAAUGUCAGCAUUUGGAGGGAGAAAUCAAGGAAAUGCAAAUGAGAGUUGAGCACCAGAUUAAAGCUGCUAAUAGGGUCUCAAACCACAAACAAGCCACCCAGCUCCUACGAACUGAGCUUCAGGAUGCUUGUGCACAAGUCAAGGAUAGGGAGGGCUCUAUCCAAAUCCUCAAAGAGAGACUGACGUUCUGGCCAAGAGAAGAGCAUCACCUAGUGCUCUUGAGCUUGAAAAGCUGAAUGCUAAAGUUGUGAAGAUGGAGAUGACUGUAUUGUCCUCUGAACACCAAGAAGAGUUACUGAGGAUGACCACGCUCCUGAACCACAAGGAGGACGCUCUGAGGACGCUGAAGGAGACUCUGAGAAGAUCACAGCAGGAGGGAGAACAUUUAUUCAUGGGGGGAGAGGAUCUGCAUGCCAGACUGACAACCACCAGAGGACGUACGGUCCAAAGCAACAUUCUCCUUGAAAAGAACAAACUUGAGGAAGUGAAACGGCUACAAAAAAUAAUUUCUGAAUUGGUGAGCCGUGUUUCCACUCAGCAAGGAGAUAUUUCCAAGUGGAAGGCUAGAGCAGUUAAGCUGAAGGAGAGGAGGGACGUGGUUGAAACACCUCCAUCUGCAUGUACUCAUACAAAACGACGCCUUCCCAUGACUCCUGAGGACCUCAACUCUCCCAUGAAGUUCCUUCACUCUCCCAAGAAGUUCCUCGACUCACCCAAGAGAAAGUUCUUUGAUGUCCGUCCAGGCUCUGAAUGUCGAUUAACUGUCCCAGGCAGUUUUUUGAUAACUCCAACCUUGGAACCGUUCAAGAUGCAACUGUGGAUUAAAAAGGAGGAAUGGUGGCCUGUCACCAAAGCAAGCUGAUCUAUGCAAACAGCAGUAAAUGAUUUGCCUAAAUUGCACUAAUCAUUCAUUGUUUAUCUAUUUUUCAAUAUUCAAAGUGUUUGUUUUCGAUAGCCUUAUAUUUUAAAAUAAAGAGCAGUUUAUUUUAAUAAGACUCAUCUUUACCUGCUCUCUCUGUAAUAGCACUUUCAGAUGUUCUGACAGCAGAUGGCAUGCUUACACCAUUUUGUUUGAGAAUGUUUUAUUUUGACAACGAUGGAGGAUUUUAAACUUGGUGUCUAUGCAAAGUGGUCUUGAUGUUCAGUUUCUUCCAUUAAUAAUUUUCAGACUAAUACUUUUACAUUUCUAACCGUAGAUUGCAGUUUUUGAGGAUAUUGUACAUUCAUGGGACUUUAAUGACUCCUCAUUGGAGUUAAAUUACAUUUUU
Long non-coding RNA from Oncorhynchus keta (chum salmon), 2699 nucleotides. RefSeq lists it as uncharacterized. The record is from RefSeq and is a predicted model, not a curated record. Lineage: Eukaryota; Metazoa; Chordata; Actinopteri; Salmoniformes; Salmonidae. The transcript is spliced from 15 exons.